AACGAACGCUGGCGGCAGGCUUAACACAUGCAAGUCGAACGCUCCGCAAGGAGAGUGGCAGACGGGUGAGCAACGCGUGGGAAUCUACCUGAUACUACGGAACAACAGAGGGAAACUUCUGCUAAUACCGUAUACGCCCUACGGGGGAAAGAUUUAUCGGUAUCAGAUGAGCCCGCGUAAGAUUAGCUAGUUGGUGGGGU
RNAcentral lists this ribosomal RNA (200 nucleotides) under uncultured bacterium. RNAcentral's name for it is "partial 16S ribosomal RNA". It matches the Rfam family "Bacterial small subunit ribosomal RNA", at positions 29 to 258 of the family's 1533-position model. The record is from RNAcentral.